AUUGUGUUGAGGUGUACCGCUGACCCUGUCAGCCACAUGCCCAUGCAGCUUGGAUCCGGGAAGCUACGAUGCGCCAUUGCGCGUGAUCCACUCCCCAGGUCGCAACACUUCCAGUAGUGCGACCGAUCGACCUCUGUCGCUGGAAGC
Molecule: non-coding RNA, 147 nt
Organism: Pseudomonas batumici
Lineage: Bacteria; Pseudomonadati; Pseudomonadota; Gammaproteobacteria; Pseudomonadales; Pseudomonadaceae
Source: Rfam